AGAGAGAGAGAAAGAGAAAGAGAGUGAGAUAGAGAGACAGAGAGAGAGCGAGGCGCCAACUUUGAGCUCUGGUGGCCGACAAUCUUGAAGGUGGUUCCGACCAAGGAGGAUGUCAUUCAACUCUUGGUAGCUCAAGCAUUCUUUUGGGACCUUCCUUGCCAGUUUUAAUGGUGGUUUUCGGUGAGAACAGGAAGAGAGAGAAAUGGAUUUGUCAGUGGCUUUCUGACCACUUUUCGAGUGAUCCGACCGUCAGAUAAAAAAUUUGAGACUACCAUUGAAUUCAGACCGAUGAAACCUUCGAGAUGGGACUAACCCCGCUCUGAUUGGACACCAUUUG
Molecule: unclassified non-coding RNA, 337 nt
Filed under: Hevea brasiliensis (rubber tree)
Lineage: Eukaryota; Viridiplantae; Streptophyta; Magnoliopsida; Malpighiales; Euphorbiaceae
Source: RNAcentral